This 223-nucleotide unclassified non-coding RNA is filed under the name Hevea brasiliensis (rubber tree). The record is from RNAcentral. Lineage: Eukaryota; Viridiplantae; Streptophyta; Magnoliopsida; Malpighiales; Euphorbiaceae.
GCAGAGCUCAUAUUACCCCCAUUUGCUGCUGAUUUUGAAAGUUUCCACUUUUCAAUCUGAGUGGAUGUUUUUGGAAGAUUUGCUCAAGUGGGUAAUGUUUAUUUGAGAUUUGUCGUUGNNUCGUUGACAAUAUAUUCCAAUUUUAGAUCUUUGUGAUCUGUUCAACGUUUUUAUCCAUUUCCUACCAAAGAGAAGAAGAAGAAAACCAGCAGCAAGAAAGGAG